GACGAACGCUGGCGGCGUGCCUAAUACAUGCAAGUAGAACGCACAGUUUAUACCGUAGCUUGCUACACCAUAGACUGUGAGUUGCGAACGGGUGAGUAACGCGUAGGUAACCUGCCUGGUAGCGGGGGAUAACUAUUGGAAACGAUAGCUAAUACCGCAUAAUAUUAAUUAUUGCAUGAUAAUUAAUUGAAAGGUGCAAUUGCACCACUACCAGAUGGACCUGCGUUGUAUUAGCUAGUAGGUGAGGUAACGGCUCACCUAGGCGACGAUACAUAGCCGACCUGCGAGGGUGGUCGGCCACCCUGGGACUGGGACACGGCCCAGACUCCUACGGGAGGCAGCAGUAGGGAAUCUUCGGCAAUGGACGAAAGUCUGACCGAGCAACGCCGCGUGAGUGAAGAAGGUUUUCGGAUCGUAAAGCUCUGUUGUAAGAGAAGAACGGGUGUGAGAGUGGAAAGUUCACACUGUGACGGUAUCUUACCAGAAAGGGACGGCUAACUACGUG
RNAcentral lists this ribosomal RNA (505 nucleotides) under uncultured bacterium. RNAcentral's name for it is "partial 16S ribosomal RNA". It matches the Rfam family "Bacterial small subunit ribosomal RNA", at positions 28 to 507 of the family's 1533-position model. The record is from RNAcentral.